This 493-nucleotide ribosomal RNA is filed under the name uncultured bacterium. RNAcentral's name for it is "bacterial SSU rRNA". It matches the Rfam family "Bacterial small subunit ribosomal RNA", at positions 28 to 511 of the family's 1533-position model. The record is from RNAcentral.
GAUGAACGCUAGCGGCAGGCUUAAUACAUGCAAGUCGUGGGGCAGCAGGUUUGUAGCAAUACAGAUGCUGGCGACCGGCAAAACGGGUGCGGAACACGUACAGAACCUUCCUUUGAGCGGGGAAUAGCCCAGAGAAAUUUGGAUUAAUACCCCAUAGUAUAAUGAAGUGGCAUCACUUUAUUAUUAAAGAUUUAUCACUCGAAGAUGGCUGUGCGGCUGAUUAGGUAGUUGGCGGGGUAAAGGCCCACCAAGCCUGCGAUCAGUAACUGGUGUGAGAGCACGACCAGUCACACGGGCACUGAGACACGGGCCCGACUCCUACGGGAGGCAGCAGUAAGGAAUAUUGGUCAAUGGAGGCAACUCUGAACCAGCCAUGCCGCGUGGAGGAUGAAGGUCCUCUGGAUUGUAAACUUCUUUUAUAUGGGACGAAAAAAGGCUUUUCUAAGUCGUCUGACGGUACCAUAUGAAUAAGCACCGGCUAACUCCGUGCCAG